AUGGAGGAAAAGAGGAGGAAGGAAGGGAAGAAGGAAGGGAUGAAGGAAAGGAGGAGGAAGGAAGGAGAGAAGGAAAGGAUGAAGGAAAGGAGGAGGUGAGGAAGGGAGGGAUGGAGGAAAAGUGGAUGAAGGAAGGAGAGAAGGAAGGGAUGAAGGAAAGG
This is a long non-coding RNA of Scomber japonicus (chub mackerel), 161 nucleotides long. RefSeq lists it as uncharacterized. NCBI's taxonomy places the organism in Eukaryota, Metazoa, Chordata, Actinopteri, Scombriformes, Scombridae. The record is from RefSeq and is a predicted model, not a curated record. The transcript has 3 exons.